RNAcentral lists this ribosomal RNA (252 nucleotides) under uncultured bacterium. RNAcentral describes it as "partial 16S ribosomal RNA". It matches the Rfam family "Bacterial small subunit ribosomal RNA", at positions 524 to 775 of the family's 1533-position model. The record is from RNAcentral.
UACGGAGGAUCCAAGCGUUAUCCGGAUUUAUUGGGUUUAAAGGGUGCGUAGGCGGCCUAUUAAGUCAGGGGUGAAAGACGGUAGCUUAACUAUCGCAGUGCCCUUGAUACUGAUGGGCUUGAAUGUACUUGAGGUAGGCGGAAUGUGACAAGUAGCGGUGAAAUGCAUAGAUAUGUCACAGAACACCAAUUGCGAAGGCAGCUUACUAAAGUAUGAUUGACGCUGAGGCACGAAAGCGUGGGGAUCAAACAG